Molecule: small nucleolar RNA, 101 nt
Filed under: Eutrema salsugineum
Lineage: Eukaryota; Viridiplantae; Streptophyta; Magnoliopsida; Brassicales; Brassicaceae
Description: Plant small nucleolar RNA R71
Rfam family: Plant small nucleolar RNA R71
About the family: R71 is a member of the C/D box family of snoRNAs containing the C (UGAUGA) and D (CUGA) box motifs. Multiple nearly identical copies of this snoRNA have been identified in Arabidopsis, and it is thought to function as a 2'-O-ribose methylation guide for 18S ribosomal RNA.
Source: Rfam by way of RNAcentral
AAUCCAUGAUGAGGGCAAUCACAUUCAUACUCCUUAAAACGUUCACAGGCUUCAUAGAAAAUUUCAGUCGGUCCUUGCUGAAAGCUUGAGAUCUUGGUUCU